This 481-nucleotide ribosomal RNA is filed under the name uncultured bacterium. RNAcentral describes it as "partial 16S ribosomal RNA". It matches the Rfam family "Bacterial small subunit ribosomal RNA", at positions 28 to 523 of the family's 1533-position model. The record is from RNAcentral.
GACGAACGCUGGCGGCGUGCCUAACACAUGCAAGUCGAGCGAAUGAAGUUCCUUCGGGAACGGAUUUAGCGGCGGACGGGUGAGUAACACGUGGGCAACCUGCCUCAUAGAGGGGAAUAGCCUUCCGAAAGGGAGAUUAAUACCGCAUAAGAUUGUAGUACCGCAUGGUACAGCAAUUAAAGGAGCACAUCCGCUAUGAGAUGGGCCCGCGGCGCAUUAGCGAGUUGGUGAGGUAACGGCUCACCAAGGCGACGAUGCGUAGCCGACCUGAGAGGGUGAUCGGCCACAUUGGGACUGCGACACGGCCCAGACUCCUACGGGAGGCAGCAGUGGGGAAUAUUGCACAAUGGGGGAAACCCUGAUGCAGCAACGCCGCGUGAGUGAUGACGGCCUUCGGGUUGUAAAGCUCUGUCUUCAGGGACGAUAAUGACGGUACCUGAGGAGGAAGCCACGGCUAACUACGUGCCAGCCGCCGCGGUAA